GUUAUUGUAGCUUACCAUCAAAGCAUGGCACUGAAGUUGCCAAGAUGGGUGACUAACACACCCCAAAAACA
This 71-nucleotide transfer RNA is filed under the name Geochelone elegans (star tortoise). RNAcentral's name for it is "tRNA-Phe". Lineage: Eukaryota; Metazoa; Chordata; Testudines; Testudinidae. The record is from RNAcentral.